RNAcentral lists this unclassified non-coding RNA (876 nucleotides) under Hevea brasiliensis (rubber tree). Lineage: Eukaryota; Viridiplantae; Streptophyta; Magnoliopsida; Malpighiales; Euphorbiaceae. The record is from RNAcentral.
UGAAGAAUAAACCUUUUAAGGGCAAAAGUUGGUGCCCUAUACAUUACAUACAAGUGCACAUAACUAAGGAAAAUGAAGAUGGAGUUAAGGGUAAAGAUAAAACCGAAAGAAUAGUUGUAACAAAAUUCUAUAGCUAUGUAAUGUUUUACAGGAGCAAUUGGAAAUGCUAAACAAAAGAGAACUCAACACGAUGGCUAAUCUCUCCGCAGGCUUGCAACAACACUGUACAGACUCCCCUCCACCAAUAGUUACGAAAUUCAACAAUCGAAUUGCCUGUUAGAACAUCACUCAUGUUGAAGUUGUACAUAGGGCUGAUUUGAAGCAAGCACAUGCUCAAGCAAUAUCUGGUAGAUCAUGGUAGGAGUCAAAAUAGCAUGACGAUCUCAAAAGAGUCGUCAUGAUCCAUUUACAGCCAUUUCAGGCGAUGAUUUUGGAGGUAUCAAUGGAUAGUCCUCUCCUCUCUGCCUAUUAUCGGGAGAACUGUGCAUGCUUUCAGAAUAACUUUUUGGACCAUUUGGUUCUCGGUGGUCAUGAUUAUCCAAACCAGCACUCCCAUUGUCAGUAGAAUUCCCCUUCUCCUCAUGGUUGGACUCGACAGAUUUCUCAUCUCCAUCUGAGCAUGGACCAUCUUGUACUGUACUACCCAUCUUUUUAGCGGGUAAAACUGCUUGACUUAAGGUUGAGCAUAAAGCAGCAAAAACACUGUCUCGAGACUUUGAACCUUUAGCAAUAAGCUGCAACCUUUUUGGCUCAGACUCAUCUUUCUGCAAUAGCUUACGUUUCAAUGGGAAAGACUCCACUGACCCAUCUUCAUCAGAAUUAUCUGACUGCUUCCUAAGUGGUGGCUUAUAAUCUUCAUCAUCCUCAUCAUCAUCA